RNAcentral lists this transfer RNA (70 nucleotides) under Yoda sp. d ASH-2021. Its description in RNAcentral is "tRNA-Ser". The record is from RNAcentral. Lineage: Eukaryota; Metazoa; Hemichordata; Enteropneusta; Torquaratoridae.
GAAAUCUAUGGGUAUUACAACGAAACUGCUAAUUUCAACCUGUUUGCGGCUCAACUCCGUCAAGAUAUCG